Molecule: RNA transcript, 2620 nt
Organism: Aegilops tauschii subsp. strangulata
Lineage: Eukaryota; Viridiplantae; Streptophyta; Magnoliopsida; Poales; Poaceae
Source: RefSeq, a predicted model, not a curated record
CCGCUCCCACCUUGGAUCCCCCCCGGGAUCUAGCUGCAGUUCGCGAUGUCAAUUUUUCGGUAAUUAGGACUUCAGUGCUUUUGAUUUGUAGUUUCUUUAGGCGGUGUGGGAUGAGGCCUCCAGCAGCUUUGAUAUAUGUAAUUAUUCGAGCGGCGGCACACGAGAUCUGCGGUGACGGGGUGGCCUAGAAGAGGCAUGAGGUGGCUGGGGGAUGGCGGCGCUCAAGGUCCACGGGAGCGCGGCGGGCGAGGCCCUUGAGUCAGGCUGGUAAUCGGAUCGGGUUUUAGCGGGCUGACCUCUACCAAACACAUGCCCGAAUAGCUAACCGGGUCAACCACGACCCAUGACCCAACCCCUGGGUUUGAUGGAUGACCCAUGCCCACACCCGAUGGGUGACCCGGCCCAUUCGAACACCCAUCGAAUCCAUGUAAACAUUUCCAUUUUUAACCCGCCUAGCAUGCAACAAGUUCAAACAAAAUCGGUAAAUGACCUAGAACGAAGCGGUGGCAGUGGGUUCCUCGGCGAAGGUGGCCGCCAGGGAGACGCCGGCGGUGCACAGGGAGGUCGGGUUGUCCGGAUUUUCUUUCUAACCGUGGGUCAUCUAGAUUGGGGGAAGAAGGGUUGGGUUGGGCAUUUUUUCCAGAUCUUUAGCAAAUCGUUUUCUAGAUUGGGGAACAACGGUCAGUUCGUGCAACUCUUUUUUUCAUGAUCUUUAGCGAAUCGUUCUCUACUACCACUUAUGGAUGGCAUUGGUGGGUAAUUGUUCUUCCGGAUCUUCAGCGGAUCGUUUUCCGGAUUGGGGAACAAGGGUCAGGCAGGCAGCUUUUUUUUAAACCUUGAUCUUUAGCGAAUCAUUUUCUACCACUUAUGGAUUGUUUUUUCGGUUAGCAAAUCAUUUUUCGAAUUGGGGAACAAGGGUCAGUUCGGGCAACUAUUUUUUCCUGGAUCUUUAGCAAAUCAUUCUCUACCACUUAUGGAUGGCAGUGGUGGGUAAUUGAUUGCAACUUCAGGGCAAGGAAGGUCUGGACAGACAUGUAGAAACACAAAUAUCUCUAUCAGUGUUCAAGAAAAGCAUUGCUAAGCGACUAUUAAGCGCUGAGCAAUGGAAAAACGCUUCGCUUUGGCCCUAAGUGGUAGAUUAAGCAUAUUUGAUAAUUUUGGCCAGAAUUUGGCUAUUUUUGAACUGCUUCUGCUUAGCUGCUUGCGCAAUAAUGGCAGUAUGCCAUUUAUGUUAUUAUUAGGGUCUGUACGGGAGUUGUUUCCUUUAGAUUCUGGGCAAAUCAUGGAAAGAUGAUCUGAAUUUGGCUAUGUCUAUUUGAACUGAACAACAUUUUAGUUGUCAUUUUGCUUGCUGUGUGAACCUGAUGUGUAUUUGCUAUGUCAUGAAGGUCAUUUUAGAUGCUACUUCAACUACCCGUGUGCCAUGUUUCAUAUUUUCCUGUGCAUACUAAUCAAAACAGUCAAAUUCUUGACAAGUUUGAAAAAUCACUCAAGCGCGCUUAAGCGCCCAUUGUUCUAUGUUGUGGCCUUCCAUUUUUUGAACAUUAUCCUUUAUUAAUAGGUAUAGAAAUACUCCUAGAUUGGUGAUUGUUCCUUGUUCUAGGGUGAAAUUGCUAUGUUGGUGUUGUCUAAAGAUUUAUGCCCUCAUGAUGUUUACUUUUGUUUGUUGAUUGGUUAUUACAAGCCAGAGAUGUUAGGAACCUAUGGGUUGGAGGAAUUAGUCCGUCUAUCUCAACGCAGGAUGUAGAGGGGGAGUUUCAAAAAUUUGGAAAGAUUUAGGGGGCAAGGAAUUGUGUGUUGAUUUCCGAAGGUCCAGAGGGAGAGCGGAAAGGUCAGAAGCAGGCAACUUCAACAGUAGAGGAUCAUAGCCACCUGGUGAAACGUGAGUUGGCAUGCAAAGGGUUCUGCUGGAGUACGAAUGAGAGAGGCAAAAAUUCCUACCAAUGUUCUCCAGGUGGGCUUACCCAAUACACAUAAAGUUAACGAGGAGGCACUAAGGCGGGGUAUGGUAGCACAAGGUUUGGUUACAGACAUCAAAGCUUUUCCAGAAAGGCUGUAUGCUUUUGUGGAGUUUGCAACCAUUGAAGGAGCUUCUAAUGCUAAGAAUCUUCUAGAUGGGCGUCUUUUCAAUAAUACAAGGAUUCAUGUUCUUUUCUCCAGCAGUGGGCUUUAUAACAUAACAUCGCUUGUUGAGUUCCCUAGAUCGGAGAUGUACAAUGAUAGUCCACAUGCCGCAUGUGAUUAUUUGGGUGCUGGUCGCAGUAGUCAUGGCACAUCACAAGGGUAUGAUCCUCGACGUGGAAGGUCAAGAUAAGUGGACUAUGGUGCAAUGCCAAUCACUGGGAGUAUCCUUCCAGCACCUGAAGCUGGCUCAUCUUUGUUGUCUGGACAUUCUGCUCAUAGUGCACUUGAUCCGAGAGAAGACAAAAGGGUGAGGCUAGAUGCUGGCAUCGACCCUUAUACCAUGUAAGGGCAGGCACUGAGGGUCUUCUGCCGGGUCGGGUAGCUUUUUUUAACCUUGAUCUUUAGUGAAUCAUUUUCUACGACUUAUGGAUUGUUUUUCCGGACAUGUAGCAAAUAGUUUUUCGGAUUGGGGAAAAAGGGUCAGUUCGGGGAGCUC